UACGUAGGGUGCGAGCGUUAAUCGGAAUUACUGGGCGUAAAGCGUGCGCAGGCGGUUCGUUGUGUCGGUGGUGAAAUCCCCGGGCUUAACCUGGGAAUGGCCAUGGAAACUGGCGAACUGGAGUGCGGCAGAGGGGGGUGGAAUUCCGCGUGUAGCAGUGAAAUGCGUAGAUAUCAGGAGGAACACCGGUGGCGAAGGCGGGUCUCUGGGCCGAUACUGACGCUGAGGAGCGAAAGCGUGGGGAGCAAACAGG
Molecule: ribosomal RNA, 253 nt
Filed under: uncultured bacterium
Lineage: Bacteria
Description: partial 16S ribosomal RNA
Rfam family: Bacterial small subunit ribosomal RNA
Source: RNAcentral